RNAcentral lists this ribosomal RNA (549 nucleotides) under uncultured bacterium. Its description in RNAcentral is "bacterial SSU rRNA". It matches the Rfam family "Bacterial small subunit ribosomal RNA", at positions 355 to 896 of the family's 1533-position model. The record is from RNAcentral.
UGGGGAAUUUUGGACAAUGGGCGCAAGCCUGAUCCAGCAAUGCCGCGUGCAGGAAGAAGGCCUUCGGGUUGUAAACUGCUUUUGUACGGAACGAAACGGUCCGGGUUAAUACCCUGGGCUAAUGACGGUACCGUAAGAAUAAGCACCGGCUAACUACGUGCCAGCAGCCGCGGUAAUACGUAGGGUGCAAGCGUUAAUCGGAAUUACUGGGCGUAAAGCGUGCGCAGGCGGUUUUGUAAGACAGGCGUGAAAUCCCCGGGCUCAACCUGGGAAUUGCGCUUGUGACUGCAAGGCUGGAGUGCGGCAGAGGGGGAUGGAAUUCCGCGUGUAGCAGUGAAAUGCGUAGAUAUGCGGAGGAACACCGAUGGCGAAGGCAAUCCCCUGGGCCUGCACUGACGCUCAUGCACGAAAGCGUGGGGAGCAAACAGGAUUAGAUACCCUGGUAGUCCACGCCCUAAACGAUGUCAACUGGUUGUUGGGUCUCUUCUGACUCAGUAACGAAGCUAACGCGUGAAGUUGACCGCCUGGGGAGUACGGCCGCNAAGGUUG